Mauremys reevesii (Reeves's turtle) is the source of this 765-nucleotide long non-coding RNA. RefSeq lists it as uncharacterized. NCBI's taxonomy places the organism in Eukaryota, Metazoa, Chordata, Testudines, Geoemydidae. The record is from RefSeq and is a predicted model, not a curated record. The transcript is spliced from 3 exons.
GUUGAGAGGUUGUACUUUCAAAGGGCUGCUACUGGAACCACUGUAGAAAGGAACUGUUUUAGAAACCAAAUGGACAGAAGGGAGACUGGGAAAUCUUUGGUUACUGAGGUUCCAUGAUGUCCAUCCUCUCUUGGACUGCUGGCUCCAGCUCCUGUAUAAUGUCACAGUGUACACCGUGCUGUUGAUAUGCCUUCUGUCAUGGAGCCGUGCUUGCAACAUGGGGUGAAAUCUUGGUCCCCCUGAAGUCAAUGGCAGGAUUACAUCUAAGAUGCUUAAUCGUGGUAGGGUGUUUUGGCAUGCAAAACAGACAUGGACAAGUGGCAAAUGUGAUUUUGUAAUUGACAUUCACGAUGGAAUUUCUUCGUACGUUUUCCUACCAUAAGGACUUCAAUAUUUCCAUUAAAAUAUGUUAUAUGUCUUGUUGAACAUUUAAACUGAAGAUCACUUGCACAGAAUAUGACCAUGAUUUUCCCCCGAGUUAUUUCUUUGCAUUUCCACCAACAGAUAUUAGAGAUUAAGAUAGUAUGGCUGCCCAGCUCAGCCUCACUCCAGUACAGUAUAGGGAGAUCCUCCAGUGGCAUAGAGCGGGUGUAGCAUUUCUUAUAUCUCCUGGGUUUUGGUGUUGGGGGUAUAGCCAAAGGAAAAAUGGUAUAGCUGCCUUGUGGCAAUCUACAGCUGCUCUGUUAGCCCUGUGGGAUUGUUGGCAGCUGGUGAAGCCUUCAGGCUGCCUAAUUUAUAUAGAAGAUUAGCCUGGCAGACAGAAUU